CCCGCACUGGUUCGAGAACCUCCCAGUAUAAAAAACUAAGGAUUG
Molecule: non-coding RNA, 45 nt
Organism: Clostridium sp. W14A
Lineage: Bacteria; Bacillati; Bacillota; Clostridia; Eubacteriales; Clostridiaceae
Source: Rfam